RNAcentral lists this ribosomal RNA (253 nucleotides) under uncultured bacterium. RNAcentral's name for it is "partial 16S ribosomal RNA". It matches the Rfam family "Bacterial small subunit ribosomal RNA", at positions 524 to 776 of the family's 1533-position model. The record is from RNAcentral.
UACGUAGGGCGCAAGCGUUAUCCGGAAUUAUUGGGCGUAAAGAGCUCGUAGGCGGCUUGUCACGUCGGGUGUGAAAGCCCGGGGCUUAACCCCGGGUCUGCAUUCGAUACGGGCUAGCUAGAGUGUGGUAGGGGAGAUCGGAAUUCCUGGUGUAGCGGUGAAAUGCGCAGAUAUCAGGAGGAACACCGGUGGCGAAGGCGGAUCUCUGGGCCAUUACUGACGCUGAGGAGCGAAAGCGUGGGGAGCGAACAGG